CAGCAGUUGAGGAAUAUUGGUCAAUGGCCUAACGGCUGAACCAGCAACUUGCAGGAAUGAGAGUUAAUAUAAUAAGUUAUUAACUUGCUUGACUAGGUCUUAUAAAGUUCUGGAUAAAGCUUAUUAUGAAAACUUUAUAUCCAUAGGUCUCGACCAAAUCUUGUGCCAGCAGUCGCGGUAAGACAAGGGAGACGAGUGUUAUUCAUCUUUAACAGGUAUAUAGGGUACCUAGACGGUGUGCAAUGGCUUAAAUAAGUACCUGGUACACUUGAGUUUGAUAUGUGAGAGGAAUAUGUCGGAAUUGUUGGAGGAAAGAUGAAAUUUGUUAAUACCAAUAGGACUGAUAACGGCGAAGGCAAACCUCUAUGUACAUGUACUUGCUAUUUCUGUUUUUAUUAUAGCAAAAUAGCAAUGUACUAUAACUGACGUUGAGGGACGAAGGCUCAGAGAGUGAAGAGGAUUAGAUACCCCCGUAACCUGGGCAGACAAUGAUGAGUGCCAUAGGUUGGCUUUAAGGCGGAACUAUAAAUGAAAGUGGAAGCACUCCACCUCAAGAGUAAUGUGGCAACGCAGGAACUGAAAUCAUUAGACCGUUUCUGAAACCAGUAGUGAAGUAUGUUAUUUAAUUCGAUG
This 633-nucleotide ribosomal RNA is filed under the name Alternaria alternata. RNAcentral's name for it is "SSU rRNA". It matches the Rfam family "Bacterial small subunit ribosomal RNA", at positions 349 to 956 of the family's 1533-position model. The record is from RNAcentral. Lineage: Eukaryota; Fungi; Ascomycota; Dothideomycetes; Pleosporales; Pleosporaceae.